RNAcentral lists this ribosomal RNA (253 nucleotides) under uncultured bacterium. RNAcentral describes it as "partial 16S ribosomal RNA". It matches the Rfam family "Bacterial small subunit ribosomal RNA", at positions 524 to 776 of the family's 1533-position model. The record is from RNAcentral.
UACGGAGGGGGCUAGCGUUGUUCGGAAUUACUGGGCGUAAAGCGCGCGUAGGCGGACCAUCAAGUUGGGGGUGAAAUCCCGGGGCUCAACCCCGGAACUGCCUUCAAAACUGUUGGUCUGGAGGUCGAGAGAGGUGAGUGGAAUUCCGAGUGUAGAGGUGAAAUUCGUAGAUAUUCGGAGGAACACCAGUGGCGAAGGCGGCUCACUGGCUCGAUACUGACGCUGAACGGCGAAAGCGAGGGGAGCAAACGGG